CGUCAAAAUUUUUUGUCUUGUUAAUUGAUCUCUGAAUUUUUUUUCCUGAUUUUUGGCGUACUUGAAGCAUAUACAAAUAAAUUUGAUAGUCAGAUCAUUGAAAUUAGUUUCGUAGAAUGCAUAUUCCAUCGAAACAAUAGAUUCAUUAACAUUUAAAAGUUUAUUUAUACUUUCAUUAAGUAUAACAUAAGAUUUUGUGGUAUUCACUGGUGUAAAUAUUUUAAAUUGAAGAUCGAAUUCAUUCAUUGUAUUCAUAUAGGAUCAAGGAAUGUAAUAAAAAAUCAUAAAAAACAGAGUUAAAAUUACCGUUAAAUAUUUAUAUAAAUUUCUUUUUUAAAAAAUGUAACUUGCGCAACGUCACAAUUGGGUCCUUGUGCAAGCACAUUUUGCGCGACGCACCACCAAAGCGUUACCCAAAGACUGUUUGCACGAUGAAGAUUGCCGUUGCGCAAAACAGCUUUGCGCGACAAAAGUGCACUUAUGUCGCGCAAAGUGGUUUUGCGCUACGUUGUAAUGUAUACAAAUGUUGCGCAAUGUGUUAAAAUUUUGGCGGUAGUUUUGUGAAAAUUAGGCCUUUUUUUUUUAAUUUUCCCAAAUUUGGAGAAAAUGGGAGUGCAACUCAAACUCUCCACCUUCGUCUACUGACUGCUUUUCCUCCUCGGUCUCUCCGUUGGCAUCUUCAUCUGCAUCAUCAUCCUCUCCUUGUUCAUGCCCAUCAAUCUCUCUUCCCUUUCUCACUUGGUCUCUCCCCUUGUUCAUGCCCAUUUAUCUGCAUCAUCAUCCUCCCCGGUCUCGCCGUUUCGAGUCUCGACAGCAAAGGGUUAGUCUCACACUCUCACUUCUCUGUGUUUAAUUUUCUGUUCAAAUUAUUUUCCGUCCAUUAUUUUAUACAGUUUUAGAGGUUUGGUUAGAAUGUUUGCUCUCCGUGGUUGUUUGGAUCUUUGAGAUAGAUAGAUGUAUGUGAGUGGAAAACAUUCAAUUUGGAAAAUUCAAUUAGAAAUUGGGGGUUUUAGUGUUAAAUCGAAUAUUAAGAUGUUGACGGUGCUGCCUUGAAUCUUGAUUUUGCUCAAGUUUUCGACUUUGUGAAGGAGCGCCUGGGCAAAGAGGUUGAGAUGGGUGGCUGCAAAGGACCCAUAACAACAUUCAUUGUUGAACCCUUCAUUCCCCCACAAUGAAGAGUUUUACCUUAAUAUCGUCUCAGACCUACUUGGAAACAGCAUAAGCUUCUCUGAGUGUGGAGGAAGUGAUAUUGAGGAGAACUGGGAUAAGGUAUUUUUGGAUGUCAAUGUGUUACCAAAUUCUUAUUCAUACGCUAUUCCUUGUUAUUUUAAAUAAAAAGAUAAAAAUUCCUAGAAGUGCAUCUUCUAUGAGCUCUAUUCGUCUACCUUAACGCUCCAUAUUUAUAAAAAAAUAUACUUUACGCAAGUUAAGACCAUAUUUGUCCCUACUGGAGUUGCUUUUACAUCAGAAGUUUCUGCUCCACUUGUUGCAACCCUUCCCUUGGAGGUAAGUCUUUUAUUGAUAUGGUAUUUCGGUAUCAUUUCUGUGUACUUUACUUCUGACCAGAAAAAAAGAAAUAAUGUACUCGAUUUUGCUUGCGUCAAUCAUAUGCUAUCUCUCUUGAGUUCAUGUUUCGUUUUAGUUUAAUCUGGAAAUCAUUGACAAGUAUUAUUCUUGAAUAUAGGUCAAAGCAGAACUUGAGGACUUUAUCAAAGCCGUGUUUGCCCUAUUUCAAGAUUUGGAUUUCACUUUUCUGGAGAUGAAUCCUUUUGCAUUGGUUGAUGGAAAGCCAUAUCCUUUGGAUAUGAGAGGCGAGCUGGAUGACACUGCUGCUUUGAAGAACUUCAAAAAGUGGGGCAGUAUUGAAUUUCCAAUGCCUUUUGGAAGAGUUAUGCGUCCUACAGAGAAAUUUAUUCACGGGCUAGAUGAAAGAUUCCCAAUGUGGAGGAAGUGACAACACUAAAAGGUCAGCUUACGACCCAGGGUGAGCAGAUGAGUAUGAUUGUAUGGGCCUUACAGAUGUCCCCAGCCUCCAAAUCCCGAUGCUAGCACCUGAUCUUACCUUCGACCUCCCAACCACUUCGCCCAGCCGAUACCCAGUAGCCUUAUGUAUCAAACCUAGAAGACUACUUGUCUGCUAUUUCAAAGCUAGAGGAGGCUUUGUGGAUUAAUAAUAGGAAAUAUGACGCUCCGUGGUGCUGGGAAAUGCUUAAACUGUUUGCGCAUUAUGCACUCCGGACGAAAAUGAGGCAAGGGUUCCAAAAGAUGUUGCAGUGCUUCCUAAAGGCUUUGAAUGAGUUUGUUCAGAGAAGAGUAUCUCAUUACAAGGAAUUUGAUCCAACAGAACAUUUACUACCCUUAAAAGCAUUUUGUGAACUCCAAGCUCAAGUCAAUCCUUAAUUUUCAUCUACUUUUUAUUUCUCUAUGUUUAGGUGAUUUACAUUGUUUGUAACCAUUAAAUCACCCAACUUUAUAUUUACAAUUGUGUUUCUGAUUGUUGAUGUCAAUUAAAAUACUAUUAUUCAGGUUA
Long non-coding RNA from Pyrus x bretschneideri (Chinese white pear), 2530 nucleotides. RefSeq lists it as uncharacterized. The record is from RefSeq and is a predicted model, not a curated record. The transcript is spliced from 7 exons. Lineage: Eukaryota; Viridiplantae; Streptophyta; Magnoliopsida; Rosales; Rosaceae.